AGCGCAGCUUGGUAGCGCAACUGGUUUGGGACCAGUGGGUCGGAGGUUCGAAUCCUCUC
Molecule: transfer RNA, 59 nt
Filed under: Escherichia coli
Lineage: Bacteria; Pseudomonadati; Pseudomonadota; Gammaproteobacteria; Enterobacterales; Enterobacteriaceae
Also listed under: 4 other names
Description: tRNA-Pro
Rfam family: tRNA
About the family: Transfer RNA (tRNA) molecules are approximately 80 nucleotides in length.
Source: RNAcentral